AAGUUCACUUCAGGGGGAGUUAAGGUCCCUGCCCCUCUGGGCACCCCCUGGGAAGGCCAGUGAAGUUGGACCAGGUGCAGAAGCUUCCAGGGAUCAUGAGGUCAAACAAAGCCUGCCCUCCCUGGGCUGAGGGUCAACAUCCACAUAGCCUGACCACCGUGGGACCCGGCCAGCCACAUGAUUGUCGGCAGCCUUGAUCUUCCCCAGCACUGACUGAGGUUGUUGCCAGAAACACCAGGAGCAAACAUGUCACAGAGCAGGGGUCUCACUCCGUUGCCCAGGAGCACCAUGGGAUCAUCACAGCUCACUGCAGCCUCAAACUCCUGGUCUCAGCCUCCGGAGUAGCUGGAACUAUAGGUACCCAUGACCAUGCCCAAAUCAUUUUUUUGUGUAUUUUGUAGAGAUGGGGUCUCUCUAUGUUGCCCAGCCUGAUCUGGAACUCCUGACCUCAAGCGACCUUCCCACUUGGGCCUCCCUGGUUGCUCGGACCACAGGCAUGUGCCUCUGUGCCUGGCCUCAUCUAUACUUCUAACUGUUCCUUUGACUAAUUUUGCUGAUACUGAAUCACCCUUUCGUGCCUGGAAUGAACCCAACCUGGCUACGGUGUAUUUUUAUGUGGAUACACUGGUUGAUUCCAUUGAUUAAUAUUUAGAAAUUUUUUUUUU
Molecule: long non-coding RNA, 665 nt
Organism: Nycticebus coucang (slow loris)
Lineage: Eukaryota; Metazoa; Chordata; Mammalia; Primates; Lorisidae
Exons: 3
Source: RefSeq, a predicted model, not a curated record